GGUUAGUUAGCUAGCCAAUGCCUGCAGUGUUCUUUUUUUUGGGUGUGGUCUUUGGUUCAUAGAGCAUAAGCUCUUCUAUGCACACAAGCUAACUUCGGUGCUGGCAUUUUCAGUUUACCUUCCGUCAUAUGCUGCCAAACUUCAAUGAAUGCUGGUGGGACAGUAUCAUUCUUGAUAUUUUGAUUUGCAAUUGGUUUGGUAAGAUUUACUGAGCUUCUGCUUCUGCUACUACUGUAAUUGCUGUUUGCCAUUAUCACUUUUAGGUUGUCUUUUUGUUUAACUAAUUCUAUAGUAAUGUGAGUUAAAUAGUUGGAAGCUUCAAAUAUUUGAGACAAGUUUACAUCUGAGGGUCUUUUCUAAACUUUUUUUAAUUAGAAGACAAUUUUCAUUUAGAGGGGAAUCAACGUGAAGUUACCAUUCAUAUUGGCUUGAGUGAUUCAAUAUAUAUAAUUUAAUGAAAGUUUCUCAGUAAUUACAGGCCAGUGAACUUUGGCUUCCAAUUAAGAACACAUAUGCUAACAAAGAACCUCAACAGGCUGAGAAGCAUGAAUUGAUCUGCCUAUUGUGAUAUGCCACACUUGAUCUGUUGAACUCUUGGUAUCACGAUCUAAAUUGGAAUUUGAAAAGGGAUAAAUGACUCUACCAAAGGAAUAAUGAGGGUUAUUUGUGUAUUAUAUUUCUUAAGUUGGUUACCAAUUGAAUUGUUUCCUUGCAGCCUAUUGUGACCAUUUCUCUGGUUUAUUUUACAGGUAUCUGGGCAGGGAUGCAUACAG
Molecule: unclassified non-coding RNA, 773 nt
Filed under: Hevea brasiliensis (rubber tree)
Lineage: Eukaryota; Viridiplantae; Streptophyta; Magnoliopsida; Malpighiales; Euphorbiaceae
Source: RNAcentral